RNAcentral lists this ribosomal RNA (495 nucleotides) under uncultured bacterium. RNAcentral describes it as "partial 16S ribosomal RNA". It matches the Rfam family "Bacterial small subunit ribosomal RNA", at positions 28 to 507 of the family's 1533-position model. The record is from RNAcentral.
GACGAACGCUGGCGGCGUGCCUAAUACAUGCAAGUAGAACGCUGAAUGAGGAGCUUGCUUCUCUGGAUGAGUUGCGAACGGGUGAGUAACGCGUAGGUAACCUGCCUGGUAGCGGGGGAUAACUAUUGGAAACGAUAGCUAAUACCGCAUAAUAUUGACUAUUGCAUGAUAGUCAGUUGAAAGGUGCAACUGCACCACUACCAGAUGGACCUGCGUUGUAUUAGCUAGUUGGUGGGGUAACGGCUCACCAAGGCGACGAUACAUAGCCGACCUGAGAGGGUGAUCGGCCACACUGGGACUGAGACACGGCCCAGACUCCUACGGGAGGCAGCAGUAGGGAAUCUUCGGCAAUGGACGGAAGUCUGACCGAGCAACGCCGCGUGAGUGAAGAAGGUUUUCGGAUCGUAAAGCUCUGUUGUAAGAGAAGAACGAGUGUGAGAGUGGAAAGCUCACACUGUGACGGUAUCUUACCAGAAAGGGACGGCUAACUACGUG